This 543-nucleotide ribosomal RNA is filed under the name uncultured Pyrenochaeta. RNAcentral describes it as "eukaryotic LSU rRNA". The stretch from base 171 to 324 matches the Rfam family "5.8S ribosomal RNA". Lineage: Eukaryota; Fungi; Ascomycota; Dothideomycetes; Pleosporales; Pleosporaceae. The record is from RNAcentral.
UUCCGUAGGUGAACCUGCGGAAGGAUCAUUAUCAAUUUACAGCGGACUUCGGUCCUGUCUGAACCCUUGUCUUUUGCGUACUAUUUGUUUCCUUGGUGGGCUUGCCCGCCAAUAGGACCUUAUAAACCCUCUUGUAAUUGCAAUCAGCGUCAGAAAACUAUAAUAAUUACAACUUUCAACAACGGAUCUCUUGGUUCUGGCAUCGAUGAAGAACGCAGCGAAAUGCGAAAAGUAGUGUGAAUUGCAGAAUUCAGUGAAUCAUCGAAUCUUUGAACGCACAUUGCGCCCCUUGGUAUUCCAUGGGGCAUGCCUGUUCGAGCGUCAUUUGUACCCUCAAGCUCUGCUUGGUGUUGGGUGUUUGUCCCGUUUUACGCGUGGACUCGCCUUAAAGCAAUUGGCAGCCGGCAUACUGGCCUUGGAGCGCAGCACAAUUUGCGCUUCUUGCCCUGAAUGUCAGCGUCCAUCAAGUCUACAUUUUUACUCUUGACCUCGGAUCAGGUAGGGAUACCCGCUGAACUUAAGCAUAUCAAUAAGCGGAGGCGU